CCCAGUGAUGCGAACUGUGUUAUGCUGAGG
RNAcentral lists this non-coding RNA (30 nucleotides) under Cricetulus griseus (Chinese hamster). Lineage: Eukaryota; Metazoa; Chordata; Mammalia; Rodentia; Cricetidae. The record is from RNAcentral.